Molecule: long non-coding RNA, 1453 nt
Organism: Lotus japonicus
Lineage: Eukaryota; Viridiplantae; Streptophyta; Magnoliopsida; Fabales; Fabaceae
Exons: 3
Source: RefSeq, a predicted model, not a curated record
AUUUUAAGUCAUGUGGUGUUAGAUUCGUUUUGAUAUUGUAACAAUAACAAUGGCUUAUUUGCCUUUUUGAGUCUUCACAUGAGUAUCCAUUUUGAAGGGGGAGCUUUAUUGCGAUGGUAGGAGUUGCUGCGGUUUCUGAUUAUGGAGGCCAAAUGUUCAAGUAGAAUAAACCAAUUGCAGAUGCAAGAGACAUAAUGAUCCGGUACUCAAACUGGGGAUAAUUCUGUUUGAAUUUCUCUGUGAAGCAUUAGGCCUCAAUGCCAGCUACCUUAAGGACUUGUGCAACAAGAGUUUUCUUAAUUUUCCUGAGCCAGAACUUCCCUGAGCUCAUUCUGACAGUAGCUUCCAUGGAAACCAGUGGGUUGAUGUCAAACGCAUUCCUGGUGCUUUUGUCUUUAAACUGGGUGACAUGAUGCAAAGUUCCGGCUCGAAAAUCUGGUCCACUAUUUUCAGUUGCUUGCUUUUUCCGGCAACAUCUUCCACCUGAGAAUUCAAACUAUAUGGACCUAUAAAGGAGUUGGUGACUCAAGAGAGGACCAUUGAAAAAUAGAUACUGCAAGGCUAUUUGGAAAUGUCUGGUUCAUUCUAAAGUGGUGGCUCUAGCGUGGAGGAUUGCUCAUAGGAGACUACCGAUUGCGGACAACUAGAUAAAAAGAGGUGUGGCACUUGGUCAAAACAGGGAGGGCCAUUGCUACUUCUGCAAACGACAUAUGGAGGAUGCGGCUCAUGUGUUCUUUGGUUGUGUUUUUUCCUAUAUAGCGUCUGGAUGGUAUGCUAUUCUUGGCUGGGGGUGAAAACUGUGCUCCCUUCGGAAUGUAGCUCUCAUUUCUUGCAUCGUGAGUCUUGGGGGAGAAAUAAAAGUCAGCGAGCGAUUUGGAGUGUUAUUUGGUUUGCUGGAAUUUGGAGCAUUUGGCUUCAUAGAAAUGCUGUGGUCUUUAAGGGGGAGCAGGUGAAUGCAGAAUCUGUUAUGGACAUGAUUAAAUUGAGGUCUUGGGUUUGACUUAAAUGAAAUCCUUGGUAAAGAGGUUUAACUGCUCAUUUUAUGAUUGGGAAAAAGAACCAUGGAUUGGGUUAUCUAAUACAUGAUGGGAGCAUGAAAAAGGCAUGGUAUUUACUGCUAUAACUUGCUGUAUUGUCUGCUAUGGCAUGUUCUGUGAGACAAAGUGAUGCAGUUAUUAAAGCUGAACUACUGGAGGUGACUUAUUGCUUUGAGGAUUGACUAGAUUUAUAUUAAAUAUGGCAGGUCCCUUAUGAGCUUUAAUCAUAUUUUGUGCCUCAUGGUGGAUCUUUGAAUCUACUUGUACAAGAUAUAUAUGUUUUUGAUAGAGUAUGCUUUCUUAUUGGGUGGGUUUUGGUUUGUUUGUAUCACCAUCCUGCCCAAUCUGUUCUGUAUCUUUAUAUACUUGGGUUCUAGCACCCCUUGUGCUAGCUUCUUAAUUCAUUUGACUUUUCA